This is a long non-coding RNA of Hemicordylus capensis (graceful crag lizard), 1230 nucleotides long. RefSeq lists it as uncharacterized. The transcript has 5 exons. NCBI's taxonomy places the organism in Eukaryota, Metazoa, Chordata, Lepidosauria, Squamata, Cordylidae. The record is from RefSeq and is a predicted model, not a curated record.
GACAUGGUGCCUGGUUGCUGGCGACUUACGACUGUACUGGUGACAAAAUGGUGGGGUUAUUGGCCUCUAUUUUAUAUUGAUUAAAGAGGAGGAAGGCUUUCCCACUCUUCCAGAGACAGACAGCUCUGGGAUCCAAUGAAAAGAAAAGAGCCAGCACAUCUCUGAUGCAAGGCAGGCCUUAGGCGAAUCCAGGGUUGAGGUUUUCCCUCCAAACAGGUGCAGGCCUCUCACCACCACAGGCACCCCCAUGGGGCUUCCCUGACAGUGGCAGCACUACCCCCCACCCCACCAAAAAAGUUGAGGAGGCACAGAAGGGGCAUAGUGCAUUCCAGGUUUCUAGGUGUUCAUCUCUAGGCCAAGAAACGUGGAACUGCUGCUCUGAAGUGAAUCCCUGGCUUGGUGACUGAAAAUGUCGACCCGAUGUAUGGCAGCUGUAAAGAAGGUUAAUUCUAUGUCCCCGUCUCAAAGUCAAAGCAUUUUUAAAAAUAUCCGCUUGAUCAAUCUUCAUUAUUGAAUCUCUGAAUCUGGAAGCCUCAGAAGAUAAGAUACAGCAUUUCGUGACAAUUGUUGGAUUAAUCCGUCCUUGGUCUGGAGCAGCUACAGUCAAAGGAGCUGGAUAAUUGUCUUGAUCACUGUGACUGAGUGGCCAGGGCCUGGACAAAAGAAUGCUCUGUUCCUUAAUGACUGCGGAUGGUUUCCUGAAUGGGCAAUUCACCUGCAGGAGUGGAGUCUUCCUGGGUCUUCUUCCAUUGAGCCCACUGUCACUCAAAAAGCAACGGAUGGUGCGAUCAGCCACUGAUGGACCUUGACCUUGGAGUUCAGCUUGUAUCUCUUUGGAAGUUGUCCUUGGCUUUUUGUCUACCAUUCUCACUAUCCUUCUGCCCAUUCUGGAGUUGAUUUUCCUCUUGCAGCUGCAUCCAGGGAGGUUGGCUAUAGUCCCAUGGAGCUGGAACUUCUUAAUAAUAUUUGCAACUGUUGUCACAGGAAUAUCAAACUGCUUGGAGAUGGUCUUAUGGCCUUUGCCUUUAACAUGCUUGUCUAUAAUUUUCUUUCUAAUCUCCUCAGACAACUCUCUCCUUUGCUUUCUCUGGUCCAUGUUCAUGUUGUUUUCUCUGGGACACACAAUGAUACCAAACAGCAGAGUGACUACUUUUCUCCAUUUAAAUAGGCUGAAUGACUGAUUGCACGAUUGGAGACGUGUGUGAUGAAAUGAAAGAAAACAGCUUAUUU